Molecule: unclassified non-coding RNA, 239 nt
Filed under: Basidiomycota sp.
Lineage: Eukaryota; Fungi; Basidiomycota
Description: partial contains small subunit ribosomal RNA, internal transcribed spacer 1, and 5.8S ribosomal RNA
Rfam family: Eukaryotic small subunit ribosomal RNA (bases 1-47)
Source: RNAcentral
AAAGUCGUAACAAGGUUUCCGUAGGUGAACCUGCGGAAGGAUCAUUAUUGAAAUAAACCUGAUGGGUUGUUGCUGGCUCUCUAGGGAGCAUGUGCACACCUUGUCAUCUUUAUAUCUCCACCUGUGCACUUUUUGUAGACCUUUCAGGUCUAUGUUGCUUCAUUUACCCCAAUGUAUGUUUAUAGAAUGUUGUGCCUAUAUAAUAUAUACAACUUUCAGCAACGGAUCUCUUGGCUCUC